GACUACUAGGGUAUCUAAUCCUGUUUGCUCCCCACGCUUUCGCGCCUCAGCGUCAGUUGUCGUCCAGAAAGUCGCCUUCGCCACCGGUGUUCUUCCUAAUCUCUACGCAUUUCACCGCUACACUAGGAAUUCCACUUUCCUCUCCGAUACUCCAGCCUCCCAGUUUCCAUCCCAUCACGGGGUUAAGCCCCGCACUUUUAAGAUGGACUUAAGAAGCCGCCUGCGCGCGCUUUACGCCCAAUAAUUCCGGACAACGCUUGCCACCUACGUAUUACCGCGGCUGCUGGCACGUAGUUAGCCGUGGCUUGCUAUUCGGGUACCGUCACUCUGAUAUGGUAUUAGCAUACCAGCCAUUCGUCCCCGAUCACAGAGCUUUACAACCCGAAGGCCGUCAUCACUCACGCGGCGUUGCUCCGUCAGACUUUCGUCCAUUGCGGAAGAUUCCCCACUGCAGCCUCCCGUAGG
Molecule: ribosomal RNA, 465 nt
Filed under: uncultured Dialister sp.
Lineage: Bacteria; Bacillati; Bacillota; Negativicutes; Veillonellales; Veillonellaceae
Description: partial 16S ribosomal RNA
Source: RNAcentral